UGGAGUGUCUCUCUUCGUUGGCGUCAUCCCGACUGAGAAGCAGAUAGAAGCAAUGGAGACUAUUUUGGUGGUGUUUAUUUUCGCAUCUUCUACCGCCUCCUGUGAAGGUCGAGGCCAGCAGGCUUGGACUGAGUGAUUGAAGUAGAUAAAGAGUUGAAAAGAGAGAGAGAGAGAGAGGGCUGGAACUAUCUCCUGCUCCGUCAUCCCAGUGUUCAGACUACCUGUUCAGGAUCAUACUGGUGUACAGUAGUCUGCACAUUGGUUAGACUGUGCAUGGACUCCCGGCGGUGAGGAACAAACUCUCAAACGCAAGCAAAAACACACACAACUGCAGGUGAAAAGACUCUGCUCGGUUUGGUUGGUUACUGUAUCGACACCAGUGAUGGUGAUUAUUGCAUGUGGAUUCAAAGUUGGCGGUAAUGGAUAAAAGGUUCCUGAUGAUUCAGAGCUUAGACAUUCAUCAUUACAUGAAGCUAAACCUAGCAUGAAAAUGAUAUUACAAGUAAAGCUCCCGUGUAUAUGUGAACAUGCAUGCACUCGAGUCACAUAUGGUUCAUAUAAAAGCUCCAGGUGUCCGGCUAGUUUUACGAUUUCAGUCUUGAGAUGGUCUGAAGGCCCUUCGAAGUGUCCAUUUAGCGAGAAUUACAGCACAUAUGCAUGCUAAGACACAGAUGAGAGGUGAAAAGAAAGUAAUUAGGUUGAAUCUUCACAGAAGUGGAGGGGUUCACAAGUCAUCUGUUUUCCUUCAUGCAGCUCAGCUCAGAAAGAGAGAGAGAGAGACUGAUGACUGCAGGAAUGUGUGUCUGUUUAGUGUUGGGUGCUGAUUAAACCAAACCAGCAGUCUCGGCCUAUGAACGCCAUAGAGACAGAUUUAGGGAACAUCUGAUGCCAGCUCUAGGAGGCUGGAUGGUGUUUGGAGAAAGUCUUACAAUUUUCCACCCAGGAAUGUGUAUGGCCCCAGUGAGACUGCCAACCACAGACACAGAAUCAAACUUGGAGAAAGUAAAGAAGGCAGACAGGGGAUGAGAUGGACAGAUGUAGUGUAACGUCAAAUACUGAAUGUAAACAUGAAUAAUUAUUGUGGAACUGAACAAUCCAGGCCAAAUUUAGAGGGAUCGUGCACACUUUCAUAUACGAAAGAAAGUUCAGAUAAUGGAUUUAGCAGAACAUGACAGGAAUCCUGCCAUAAUUGAAAAACAAAUGUAAAAUUUGAAAGCCAGUCGAUCAUUUUAACACAUAUUUCAAUAAUAAGUAACUUUUUAUUCUGUAACUUUAUACUAAUUCAACGUAACUUGAUAGAAAUUAACCUAAAUUCAUAGCUUUUACAUAUUUUGUGCUCUGAGAGUGCAUGAAUUUCAGAAAAAUAUACCCCGUGUUUAUACAAAUUCCUCUGUUUGAAGUGCGGCGUGAGUUUAGAGUUUCAGUAUUCAUUAAAAAUUAGUGUUUGCUUAUACAGUCACAUACAUUUGGCAGCCGGUGAGCAUAAGUGUGUCUGUGUCUGUGUGUGUUUAAGAUUCUCUGUAUAUCAAUAUCCAUGUGUGUCUGAGAGAGAGUGUGUGUUUGUGCGUUAGUUUGACUUGGGGCGCUUCCAGCUGUGUCAGGGUGAUCCAGACCAAAUGCCUUAAUUCCCAAUGGACGCAGAGAGACGGUGGGGGUAUGCUAAGAAAAGGGAGCAAGCAAAAUAGACGGGAAAAAAGCCGGGGGGAAAGAUGGAUUCGACAAAACUUGAAAUCAACGAGUGAAGGUUUGAUUUUUGAGUUACUGCACUGUAAAAAUGACCACAUUAAAUGACGACAACAAAUGCUUUUGUCACUUUCAUUUGGUAUCAGGUAAUCGACAAAUUUUUUCAGUUAUACAGAGUUAAACUUCAUCUUUUGAGUUAGUUUGACUUAAGUUGAGAUGACUAAAGUUCAGUUGAUUCAACUAAAAACGUUUGUCAGCAAUAUUUUUUACAGUUUACACUUAAUUGUACUUGUAAUUGUAACUUAUUAAACUAAGUUUAUCAUGUUCCCAAUUUAAUUUUAUGAGUUAUGCAAGAAGUUCAACAUAAAAUAAGUUAAAAUGACUCAUAAGGUUAAUUUGAUUCAGCUUAAAAAUUUAAAGCAACUAGUAUUUUUUACAGUGUACUGUCCUGGUUAAAAAAUAUCAAAAUUCUGACUGAAUUAUUGAUAUAUAUGCAACAAAAGAAGCAUGAAAAUGUGUAUUAAAUGUAAUGAUGUGAAUACAAAUGUUUACAACACAUGUGAAAGCUUUUGUGUUUAUAUUCUAGUAACAUUAUCUUUGUCCUCUCUCUCUUGCUCUUUGCUUCCGGCUUCCGGUCGGGAGGAGCAGGCUGUGCUGCCAUUGACUGAGAGCGUUGUCUGUCUGCCUGUCUACACUUGCUGUGCAGAACUUCCUGCACCUGUACAGCAGGCACAGACAGGCAGACAGAUGGCAGCCCGCCUGACAGGCCACACAGUGUGAGACCAGCCAUUGAGUACCUGCAAAAACUGUACUUUCACCAUAAAAAGCCAUUAAACGAAUGAAACAUCA
Danio aesculapii is the source of this 2532-nucleotide long non-coding RNA. RefSeq lists it as uncharacterized. The transcript has 2 exons. NCBI's taxonomy places the organism in Eukaryota, Metazoa, Chordata, Actinopteri, Cypriniformes, Danionidae. The record is from RefSeq and is a predicted model, not a curated record.